Molecule: long non-coding RNA, 213 nt
Filed under: Cicer arietinum (chickpea)
Lineage: Eukaryota; Viridiplantae; Streptophyta; Magnoliopsida; Fabales; Fabaceae
Description: long non-coding RNA (CARI_LNC000270)
Source: RNAcentral
UUCGUAUUCACCAAGAGUGCCACUUGCUCCGAUAGGAUUCUGAGCUUCUCUAAUACUUCCUCGUUGGAAGGUUUUUGGCGCUUCUCUUGAGGAAAAAAGCUUUUGGGAGUUACGCCAAAUCAUUUCCCCCUCACUCGACCGGAAUACUCAGGGACAUUAAACACUUUCCCAAGAAUGUCCCUGCAAGUAUCCUUGUUGCCCUCUUGAGUUUCA